UGAGUGGCGCGUGCUAUACAUGCAGUCGAGCGGAGAAAUGGGAGCUUGCUCCCAUUUCUCAGCGGCGGACGGGUGAGUAACACGUGGGCAACCUGCCCUACAGACUGGGAUAACUCCGGGAAACCGGAGCUAAUACCGGGUAAUACAUAGCAUCGCAUGAUGCAACGUUGAAAGUUGGCCUCUGGCUAACACUGUAGGAUGGGCCCGCGGCGCAUUAGCUAGUUGGUAAGGUAACGGCUUACCAAGGCCACGAUGCGUAGCCGACCUGAGAGGGUGAUCGGCCACACUGGGACUGAGACACGGCCCAGACUCCUACGGGAGGCAGCAGUAGGGAAUCUUCCGCAAUGGACGAAAGUCUGACGGAGCAACGCCGCGUGAGUGACGAAGGCCUUCGGGUCGUAAAGCUCUGUUGUUAGGGAAGAACAAGUACCGUUCGAACAGGGCGGUACCUUGACGGUACCUAACCAGAAAGCCACGGCUAACUACGUGCCAGCAGCCGCGGUAAUACGUAGGUGGCAAGCGUUGUCCGGAAUUAUUGGGCGUAAAGCGCGCGCAGGCGGUCUCUUAAGUCUGAUGUGAAAGCCCACGGCUCAACCGUGGAGGGCCAUUGGAAACUGGGGGACUUGAGUGCAGAAGAGGAGAGUGGAAUUCCACGUGUAGCGGUGAAAUGCGUAGAUAUGUGGAGGAACACCAGUGGCGAAGGCGGCUCUCUGGUCUGUAACUGACGCUGAGGCGCGAAAGCGUGGGGAGCAAACAGGAUUAGAUACCCUGGUAGUCCACGCCGUAAACGAUGAGUGCUAGUGUUUUGGGGGGUUCCACCCUCAGUGCUGAAGUUAACACAUUAAGCACUCCGCCUGGGGGAGUACGACCGCAAGGUUGAAACUCAAAGGAAUUGACGGGGGCCCGCACAAGCAGUGGAGCAUGUGGUUUAAUUCGAAGCAACGCGAAGAACCUUACCAGGUCUUGACAUCCUCUGCCACUCCUAGAAGAUAGGACGUUCCCCUUCGGGGGACAGAGUGACAGGUGGGUGCAUGGUUGUCGUCAGCUCGUGUCGUGAGAUGUUUGGGUUAAGUCCCGCAACGAGCGCAACCCUUGAUCUUAGUUGCCACCAUUUAGGUUGGGCACUCUUAAGGGGACUGCCGGUGACAAACCGGAAGAAAAGUGGGGAAAAAAAUUUAAUUUUUUUUGGCCCCUUAUAAACCGGGGGUACACCCGUGG
This 1218-nucleotide ribosomal RNA is filed under the name Pseudovibrio sp. RNAcentral describes it as "bacterial SSU rRNA". It matches the Rfam family "Bacterial small subunit ribosomal RNA", at positions 37 to 1225 of the family's 1533-position model. Lineage: Bacteria; Pseudomonadati; Pseudomonadota; Alphaproteobacteria; Hyphomicrobiales; Stappiaceae. The record is from RNAcentral.